This 1284-nucleotide ribosomal RNA is filed under the name uncultured fungus. RNAcentral's name for it is "eukaryotic LSU rRNA". The stretch from base 643 to 1284 matches the Rfam family "Eukaryotic large subunit ribosomal RNA", at positions 1 to 649 of the family's 3401-position model. Lineage: Eukaryota; Fungi. The record is from RNAcentral.
AAGUCGUAACGAGGUUUCCGUAGGUGAACCUGCGGAAGGAUCAUUAAUGAAUUUAGGAGGUUUGCUGUGNCGUCUUCACGGAAUUGUGCACGCUUACCUCUAUAAUCCUUAUCAACACCUGUGCACCUUUCUAGGGAGAACGAUAGGUUUCACGACCUAUCAUGACCUCUAUAUACACACUCUUUAUGUCAAUGAAUGUUACUUGGCCGAAAGGCUAGAAUUAUAAACAACUUUUAACAACGGAUCUCUUGGCUCUCGCAUCGAUGAAGAACGCAGCGAAAUGCGAUAAGUAAUGUGAAUUGCAGAAUUCAGUGAAUCAUCGAAUCUUUGAACGCACCUUGCGCUCCCUGGUAUUCCGGGGAGCACGCCUGUUCGAGUGUUAUGAAACUAUCAAGAAAAAUUGGCUUUAUUGUUGAUUUUGAUUGGAUUUGAACUUUGAUGUUGAUCUAGGUAGAGGGUUACUCCUCUGCUCUGUAAUACGACUAGUUUUAAAAGUAUAAGCAGGCUCUGGUUUUUUAAUUACCAUGGUUCUACUCAGCGUGAUAAUUAUCUAUCGUUGAGGACACUUUUAUUAGUGGCCAUGGUCCCAAGAGUUGCUCUCUAAUCUCUGUGAUCAGUUGCAAAACUGAUUUCAUUCAUAUCUGACCUCGAAUCAGGUGGGACUACCCGCUGAACUUAAGCAUAUCAAUAAGCGGAGGAAAAGAAACUAACAAGGAUUCCCCUAGUAACGGCGAGUGAAGCGGGAUGAGCUCAAAUUUAAAAUCUGGCAGUCUUUGAUUGUCCGAGUUGUAAUCUAGAGAAGUGUUUUCCGCGCUGGACCAUGUACAAGUUUCCUGGAACGGAACGUCAUAGAGGGUGAGAAUCCCGUCCUUGACAUGGACUCCCAGUGCUAUGUGAUACACUCUCAACGAGUCGAGUUGUUUGGGAAUGCAGCUCAAAAUGGGAGGUAAAUUCCUUCUAAAGCUAAAUAUUGGCGAGAGACCGAUAGCGAACAAGUACCGUGAGGGAAAGAUGAAAAGCACUUUGGAAAGAGAGUUAAACAGUACGUGAAAUUGUUAAAAGGGAAACGAUUGAAGUCAGUCGCGUUUGCUUGGACUCAGCCUUACCUCGGUUUGGUGCAUUUCCUUGUGAACGGGCCAGCGUCAAUGUUGUCCGUUGGAAAAGGGUUAGAGGAAUGUGGCUCCCUCGGGAGUGUUAUAGCCUCUGGUCGUAUACAACGGCUGAUAUUGAGUGGUACAGCAUGCUUCGGCGGUGCUUGUGCUGGCAUAAUGGCUUUAAACGACC